AUUGCUAGAGGACCCCAGAAUUUAGAUUGGAGUCGCCGGGUUUACAUGCAGGUCGUGGUCCGAAACGGGUCAAGGAGAAAGGGUUCUUGAUCCCCUGUUCUUCGUUCCAUCCUUGGCCCUCUCUUCCAUCCUCCCGAUUGGCCAUCUCUUCACCUCCUUCUUCUGGUUAGUCACUCACUCCGUCUUCUUUCUGAUUAGGCAGUAACCCUUCUUUCUUCUCUUCUCCCAUUCCCCAUUUCUUCUUUCUCUUUUUCUUCAACUUUAAAAAUAACUAAAUGAUAAAUAAAUAUAAACAUUAUAAAAAUAUAUAAAUAGUGACUAAAACAAAAGUACUUCUCGAGUUUACAGUUCCGUAAAACUUUAACCGUAACCCAAAAUCCUCUUCUGCUUGCGCCUAUGAGUUUGUAAUGUCGAGUACUUCAAGGAAACACUAAAGGAUUAAUUCCUACACCUCACUAUACGUUGAUUAACGAAAGUCAAGACCCUCGCCUCUAAGGGCAUUUUCGUAAAAUCAUACUUUUAAAAUUUGUAAAAACAUAAAAUUAGGGACGGGUCGUCACACCUGCUUAUGUGCAAUAAAAACUAGUAUAAAUUAUAAUAUAAGUAAAUUGGUAAUAUCAUAUGUAUGUUUUAGCACAUCGAAAAAUUACUGGACAUCUUAUUAUUUAUCUCAAAAUGAUAGGUAGACGUAAAAUAAUCGUCAUGAAUUUAUGACUUUUCUGUUUAUCAUUUUUUAUGGUUCUUUUUCUCUUUUUUGUGUGACUAUAGUCCCAAUAAAGGCACAAUUUUCACUUUGUUUUCUAGAUCAAUCACUUUAAUUUAAAAUAAAAUUUUCGCAUUAAUUUGGUUACUUAUCUAGCUAGAAAGCAUUAGGAACAUAUUGUUUAUAAUCAAAGGGAGACUACAAAAUUUAAACUUUGGACAUCUUCAACCUUUUAGAAGAAAAAUAUCAUUAAACUAAGAGCUUGAUGGAAGAAACAUCACCAACAUUACCAUGCUUGAAAAUUAGCAAACAUUUUGAUAGGGCAUUCUCCCUUGGGCCACAUUUUAAGAGAAACAAUGUUUUAUUAACACCAAAACAAUUACAAGCAAUAAAGAGAACACCUGAGCUUCCGCCCAAAUCCUCCUAAAAUAAAAAACUAGGGGGAGUGUAGUUAAUUUGAAUUUUAAAGGAUUUUAAAAAAAAAUUUACGUGAUAUAUUUCAAAGGAUUGUAGAAUCCUUACAAUUUUCAAAAGGAUUUUCAAGGAUUCUUAUGGACUAUGAUUAAAGAUUUGAACGGAUUUUCAAGGAGUCUUAUGUACUUUGAUUAAAGAUUUGAAUGGAUUUUAAGAGAUUCUUGUCAUUUAAAAAAUUAUUUCUUAAAUAGAAAAUAAGAUUAAACAAAAAAAAUAAAAAAUAAAAAAAUUGAAGAACUUUGCUCAAUCCUCCUGUGUAAUGUAACUCCAAUCCUCCAUGAUCCUUCACCAGCAGAAAAUUCAAAUACAAAUCAAGCUCCCCGAAGUCUAACUUCCACCAUACUUAUUCAUGAAAGCAAGAUGUAGAAGGAUUCAAGAUGUGGGGUAGAUAAAAUGGUUGGGUUGAGGGCUUUCCUGACGAAUUCCACCCAUAAAUGUAAAAUGCCUUGCCAUCCAAGAUGAGCCGAGUCCCAUUCCUCCCCACAAAACUCAACUUCGUUUCGUCGCGAAAAUUAAACUCCAAGUUACCGAAAGACAUGUAUAUGAAGGCUACACACGACGCGAAUCCGAUAAUUAGGUAGAAAAUGCCAUUUCCUAACUACCAUUUUAUUCUUCUUGCAGAGGACCUCAGCAUCAUAAAAAGCCCCAGAGUUUAAUAAUUUGAUUUGGGCUUUGUCUAAAUUUCUUUGAGCUUUGUCUCAAUUUUAUGGCAGACCUUCAAGCCUUUUUCUUUCCAAUUUGUUGUUCCUAGCAGUGAGUCAUUGUCCACCUGUUCCAGCUAUUCGGCUCCUCGGGUGCUUUCUCCAUGGAUUUCGAUUGAAGGUAUGCUUUGGGUUAAAGUAGUUGCUAAAGUUCAAUUUGCACGAUUUGGUAAGAUUAUGUGAGUGCUCGUAGCACGGGUGGCUUGCCUACCCCCGUUUUCCCUUUAUCCCUUAGGUUCAUUGGUUCUUCUCUCGACGGAGGCGGCUUGGUGGUGGUGAUGCAACUAUUUUGGUGGAGGAGGCUAGUUCCCGUUUUUAGAUUCAGGGUUUUCAGUUUAAGGAUUGCUAUGGGGCUCAUUUUGGGGGUUUGUUUCUCUUUUUUCCUUUUGUAUUUGGGAUGCAGUUUUAGUUUAAUGUUGUAUAUUGUCCUCAGACUUUUCUCACUUUGUAUCAAUGUGUUUUAAUGAAGGUAUGCUUUGGGUUAAAGUGGUUGGUAAAGUUCAAUUUGCACGAUUUGGUAAGAUUAUGGGAGCGCUUAUAGCACGAGUGGCUUGCCCACCCCUGUUUUCCCUUUAUCCCUUAGGUUCAUUGGUUCUCUCGACGAAGGCGGCUUGGUGGUCGUGAUGCAACUAUUUUGGUGGAGGAGGCUAGUUCCCGUUUUUAGAUUUAGGGUUUUCAGUUUAAGGAUUGCUAUGGGGCUCAUUUUUUGGGUUUGUUUCUCUUUUUUCCUUUUGUAUUUGGGAUGCAGUUUUAGUCAAGGAAGAAAAUAUCGGUAAUAUCGGAAAUAUCGGUAGUCCGAAAACACGGAAAUAUCGAUGGAAAUAUCGGGAUAAUAUCGAUAUCGAUAAAAAUUACAUGGAAACCACGGAAAUUGUAAGAAAAACUUGGAAAUUUUUAAUGAAACUUUGUAGGAUGUUUAUUUAGUCAAUUAUCUAUUAGUUUAUCACAAAAAAUUGGAAGGAAAUGCAUUGCAUGAUGGAUUUAACUGAUUUAAGUUGAUUAUAUAGCGAGCUGGCAAACAUUGUGAGUGUAGAAAAUAUGUAGUAAUUAAUGAAAGAAGUUUAAACACACCAUAAUCAUUUAUAUAUAAUUAAUUAGUACAAUAUUUGGAGGUUUUAUUUAGGAUAUUAAAAAAAAAAAAGGGAGUGAAUAAAAUGAUGAAGAAUAAUGUGCCGAAUUUGACAAUUUAAAUUUCUUACACAUAAGCAUGCGUCUAGGCGUUGAAGUUCCAAAUUAUAGUAUAUCAAUUAACAAUUGAAAAUCAAUACAUUGAAUAAGACUAAACUUUAAUUUGGAUGCCGAUUAUGUUUUUUCAAGUUGAUAUAAAGUAAAAGUAUUGAAUUUUGGAAGCCAGGAGUGUGUCAAUUGAAUUUUGGGCGGCGUGCAAGGUAUCAAUCUCUUCGUCUCUUCGAGGGCUACAACUUUCCUUUUUGUUUUCACUCAAUUUCGUUGCGUAUUGAAAAAGUUAUACUCAUUUGAAUCUUACCCAGUUUCCGGCGACCUCAGUAGCUUUCGAGGCAAUUUCCGGCCACACCACAAUGAGUCAGAUGUCGUGUGAGGUACCAUUCUCUUCGUCUCUUCGAGGGCUACAACUUUCCUUUUUGUUUCACUCAAUUUCGUUGCGUAUUGAAAAAGUUAUACUCAUUUGAAUCUUACCCAGUUUCCGGCGACCUCAGUAGCUUUCGAGGAAAUUUCCGGCCAAACCACUGCGAGUUGCCCGGUGUUCAAGGUAUCAAUCUCUUCGUCUCGUCGAGUAGUACAACUUUCCUUUUUGUUUCACUCAAUUUCGUUGAGUAUUGAAAAAGUUAUACUCAUUUGAAUCUUACCCAGUUUCCGGCGACCUCAGUGACUUUCGAGGCAUUUUCCGGCCAAACCACGACGAUUCAGACGUCGUGUGAGGUACCAUUCUCUUCGUCUCUUCGAUGGCUACAACUUUCGUUUUUGUCUUGCUUGAUUUCGUUGAGUUUUGACAAAGUUAUGACCGUUUAAAGUGGGUGUAAAAUUUCGGCCGAAAUUUUGAUUUUUUCUCCCAUUGGGCGAGUCCGACAUCGCCCAUGCAAGGAAGUGAGCAAGCCAUUUUUCCUAUAAAAGCCACACUCCCCUGUUGAGAUAUCCAAAGCUUGUUUGGUCUUUGGGCCAUGAUCAAGUGAAGUAUGUGUUGAGUUUACUUAACAUAUUUAAGUAUUUUUUUAAUAAAAUAUUGCGAUAUUAUCGAUAAUUUUGAAAAUAUCGCGAUAUUUUUGAUAUUAUCGAUAAUAUCGCGAUAUUUAACGAAAAUAUGUUGGAUAGUUAAAAAAAUUUCGGAAUUCCAAAAAAACGAUAAUAUCGGCGAUAUUUCGCCGAUAUUAUCGAUUUUUUCUUCCUUGGUUUUAGUUUAAUGUUGUAUAUUGUCCUUAGACUUUUCUCACUUUGUAUCAAUGUGUUUUAAUGAAGGUAUGCUUUGGGUUAAAGUGGUUGGUAAAGUUCAAUUUGCACGAUUUGGUAAGAUUAUGGGAGCGCUUAUAGCACGAGUGGCUUGCCCACCCUUGUUUUCCCUUUAUCCCUUAGGUUCAUUGGUUCUUCUCUCGACGAAGGCGGCUUGGUGGUCGUGAUGCAACUAUUUUGGUGGAGGAGGCUAGUUCCCAUUUUUAGAUUUAGGGUUUUCGGUUGAAGGAUUGCUAUGGGGCUCACUUUUGGGGUUUGUUUCCCUUUUUUCCUUUUGUAUUUGGGAUGCAGUUUUAGUUGUAUAUUGUCCCUAGACUUUUCUCACUUUGUAUCAACGUGUUUUAAUGAAAUUGGUUGUUUUUGGAAGAAAAAAAAUGAAAUUAGUUGUUAGACCCGAGAGAGAGAGAGAGAGAGAGAGAGAGAGAGAGAGAGAGAGAGAGAGAGAGAGAGAGCACUGCGAAUGUGAACGAAAUUUGAAGGUUCCUUAAGUAAACAAGUUCAAACCUAAGAAAAGCCCCCUAAAAUACCAAAGCUUGUAAAAGAGUCCAAAUGUUGGCGUAUUUUAUGUAGGAAACAGGGUUUCGAAAGGAAAUAAAGCUGGACAAAAGAUGACGAAAAGUUUACAUAUUCCGACCAAAAAUUGAGAAUGAAAAUACUCAUCAUUCAUCAGAUUCGAACUUAAAACAUAUUACUUAAAAAUGAAAAAAAAAAUACUACUAAAUUGUAAUACUAGGUGGCAUCAUAUUCCCGAAAUUUGAAUAUGAAGAAAUGAAAGAAAACAAAUGAAGUGUUCAAACGGCUUUUUAGGGUAUCGUUAUAUUUCAAAUACAUGUCAAAUGUAUUUCAUCUAGUUAUUCAAUCGAAAUAGAUUCACCCUCAUGUUUUCUAGUUUAUGUUGCAAAUUGUCAAACCCAAAUCCAUAUUUCAAAUCCCUCCACCCAACUAGAGAGUUUUAGAGCAUGUUUGGUACUCUACUUAAAUCAAACUUUUUAAACUCAAAAAUAAUUUUCAAGUUUUAAGUCUUAAAAACUUGUUUGGUAUGACUAUUUUCAAAAACUGAACUCAAGACUAAUUCAAAAUUAUAGUCUAUUAUCUAAAAACACAAAAAGUGAGUUUUUAAAGUUUUUAAACUUAAACUUACUUAUUUCUUUUCUCUCCCUCCUCCCCUCUCACUUCAAAUCUCUCUCUCUCUCUCUCUCUCUCUCUUUUCUUCUUUCUCUCUC
This 5525-nucleotide long non-coding RNA is filed under the name Malus domestica (apple). Its description in RNAcentral is "long non-coding RNA (MDOM_LNC002611)". The record is from RNAcentral. Lineage: Eukaryota; Viridiplantae; Streptophyta; Magnoliopsida; Rosales; Rosaceae.